RNAcentral lists this ribosomal RNA (468 nucleotides) under uncultured bacterium. Its description in RNAcentral is "partial 16S ribosomal RNA". It matches the Rfam family "Bacterial small subunit ribosomal RNA", at positions 28 to 507 of the family's 1533-position model. The record is from RNAcentral.
GACGAACGCUGGCGGCGUGCUUAACACAUGCAAGUCGAACGGAAAGGCCCUGCUUUUGUGGGGUGCUCGAGUGGCGAACGGGUGAGUAACACGUGAGUAACCUGCCCUUGACUUUGGGAUAACUUCAGGAAACUGGGGCUAAUACCGGAUAGGAGCUCCUGCUGCAUGGUGGGGGUUGGAAAGUUUCGGCGGUUGGGGAUGGACUCGCGGCUUAUCAGCUUGUUGGUGGGGUAGUGGCUUACCAAGGCUUUGACGGGUAGCCGGCCUGAGAGGGUGACCGGCCACAUUGGGACUGAGAUACGGCCCAGACUCCUACGGGAGGCAGCAGUGGGGAAUAUUGCACAAUGGGCGGAAGCCUGAUGCAGCAACGCCGCGUGCGGGAUGACGGCCUUCGGGUUGUAAACCGCUUUCGCCUGUGACGAAGCGUGAGUGAGGGUAAUGGGUAAAGGAGCACCGGCUAACUACGUG